This 617-nucleotide long non-coding RNA is filed under the name Monodelphis domestica (gray short-tailed opossum). RNAcentral describes it as "lncRNA (ENSMODG00000045363.1)". The record is from RNAcentral. Lineage: Eukaryota; Metazoa; Chordata; Mammalia; Didelphimorphia; Didelphidae.
UAGAAAAAGACCUAGACUAUUGUAUUCUUUUGUUGAUUCAAGAAUUAGUUGAAUGACUAGAAUCUAAUGAUAUCCUUAAUGGUUUGAAAUCAACUUAGAAAUUGGCCUCUAGCAGAAUGCACCAAUUAUCUAUGUUUGUUUCUCUGUUGGCAGAAAGACAUACGAUUUGGAGAGUGUUGAGAAGAUUAUGGACCAGAUUGUGAAAAGCCAUGAAAUUAUUCUUAAUGAGAUUUGGUUAAAAGGACUGACUAUGGUUAGUGUGAAAGAGAGAAGAUCCCAAAGGACAUGAUGGUGAAACAAGGAACAAUCAGAGGCAAAAAUAUAAGUUGGAGAGCAUCCAGAGGAUUAUGGACCAGAUUGUGAAAGGCCAUGAGAUUAUUCUUAAUUAGGACUGAUUCAAAGAACUGGCUAUGAUUAUCACGAGGAAGAGAAGAUCCGAAAGGACAUGGUGUGAAAUAAAGAGCAAUCAGAGAAAUCUACAAAGGACAAAGUUAUUGCUGCUACAAGAAAUAUUACUACCAAAAGGAACAUCAGAACUGUUGUUGAUGUUUGGGGAUUGUAUCUGUUUGUUAGUAAGAAGGACCAGUUGGCUUAACUUUGUAAUAAAGUUGAUAUAG